This 253-nucleotide ribosomal RNA is filed under the name uncultured bacterium. RNAcentral describes it as "partial 16S ribosomal RNA". It matches the Rfam family "Bacterial small subunit ribosomal RNA", at positions 524 to 776 of the family's 1533-position model. The record is from RNAcentral.
GACGAACCGUACGAACGUUAUUCGGAAUCACUGGGCUUAAAGGGUGCGUAGGCGGCGCGGGAAGUUGGGUGUGAAAUCCCUCGGCUCAACCGGGGAACUGCGUCCAAAACUGCCGAGCUCGAGGGAGACAGAGGUGAGCGGAACUUAGGGUGGAGCGGUGAAAUGCGUUGAUAUCCUAAGGAACACCGGUGGCGAAAGCGGCUCACUGGGUCUCUUCUGACGCUGAGGCACGAAAGCUAGGGUAGCGAACGGG